AUGGUAGGAUAGAGGCCUACCAUGGUGGUAACGGGUAACGGGGUGUUAGGGCACGACACCGGAGAGGGAGCCUGAGAAACGGCUACCACAUCCAAGGAAGGCAGCAGGCGCGCAAAUUACCCAAUCCCGACACGGGGAGGUAGUGACAAUAAAUAACAAUACAGGGUUCUUUAGGAUUUUGUAAUUGGAAUGAGUACAAUUUAAAUCUCUUAACGAGGAACAAUUGGAGGGCAAGUCUGGUGCCAGCAGCCGCGGUAAUUCCAGCUCCAAUAGCGUAUAUUAAAGUUGUUGCAGUUAAAAAGCUCGUAGUUGAAUUUCGGGAUCAAUACGUCGGUCGUGCUUCGGUACGUACUGGCGUCAUUGAUUUCUCCCUUCUGACGAACCAUGAUGUCAUUAACUUGGUGUCAUGGGAAAUCAGGACUGUUACUUUGAAAAAAUUAGAGUGUUUAAAGCAGGCUCACGCUUGAAUACAUUAGCAUGGAAUAAUGAAAUAGGACGUUCGAUCCUAUUUUGUUGGUUUCUAGGAUCAACGUAAUGAUUAAUAGGGAUAGUUGGGGGCAUUAGUAUUCAAUUGUCAGGGGUGAAAUUCUUGGAUUUAUUGGAGACUAACUACUGCGAAAGCAUUUGCCAAGGAUGUUUUCAUUAAUCAAGAACGAAAGUUAGGGGAUCGAAGACGAUCAGAUACCGUCGUAGUCUUAACCAUAAACUAUGCCGACUAGGGAUCGGAUGAUGUUAAUUUUUUAAUGACUCAUUCGGCGCCUUACGGGAAACCAAAGUGUUUGGG
RNAcentral lists this ribosomal RNA (784 nucleotides) under uncultured Glomus. RNAcentral describes it as "SSU rRNA". It matches the Rfam family "Eukaryotic small subunit ribosomal RNA", at positions 325 to 1111 of the family's 1831-position model. Lineage: Eukaryota; Fungi; Glomeromycota; Glomeromycetes; Glomerales; Glomeraceae. The record is from RNAcentral.